GGUGAGUAAUGUCUGGGAAACUGCCUGAUGGAGGGGGAUAACUACUGGAAACGGUAGCUAAUACCGCAUAACGUCGCAAGACCAAAGAGGGGGACCUUCGGGCCUCUUGCCAUCGGAUGUGCCCAGAUGGGAUUAGCUAGUAGGUGGGGUAACGGCUCACCUAGGCGACGAUCCCUAGCUGGUCUGAGAGGAUGACCAGCCACACUGGAACUGAGACACGGUCCAGACUCCUACGGGAGGCAGCAGUGGGGAAUAUUGCACAAUGGGCGCAAGCCUGAUGCAGCCAUGCCGCGUGUAUGAAGAAGGCCUUCGGGUUGUAAAGUACUUUCAGCGGGGAGGAA
This 341-nucleotide ribosomal RNA is filed under the name Escherichia coli. RNAcentral's name for it is "bacterial SSU rRNA". It matches the Rfam family "Bacterial small subunit ribosomal RNA", at positions 105 to 449 of the family's 1533-position model. The record is from RNAcentral. RNAcentral also lists the same sequence under 6 other names. Lineage: Bacteria; Pseudomonadati; Pseudomonadota; Gammaproteobacteria; Enterobacterales; Enterobacteriaceae.